Molecule: long non-coding RNA, 2503 nt
Organism: Bos taurus (domestic cattle)
Lineage: Eukaryota; Metazoa; Chordata; Mammalia; Artiodactyla; Bovidae
Source: Ensembl
CCGCCAGGCUCCUCAGUCCAUGGGAUUCCCCAGGCAAGAAUACUGGAGUGAGUCGCCAUGCCCCCCUCCAGGGGAUCUUCCCAACCUAUGACUGAACCUGCAUCUCUUGUGUCUCCUGCAUUGCAGGCGAGUUCUUUCCCAUGUAUUCCAGUCAUCAGCAUGUACCGUGAACACUUCCUCCCUGGCUUCUGCUCCCACCUCCUUCCAGCACAUUCCUCCCCAACAGUGUGUCACUGAGGAGGGAGGUGUGGUGGAUCAGUAUCUUCACUGGGGCUUCAGUGCACCCUCCGGCCCAGAGGCUAGUGCCUGGGUCCUGCCCGCUGGGCACCGCUGCAGUUUCUCAAAUGCCUUUCGACACUUACUGCAGGAUGACCUUUGAGCACUGGUGCAAACGCUCAGUCUAUUUUUUCCCAGCCUUGGGGACUGGCCUGCUGUCUCAGUUUCAGCUUCCCAUGUAUUUACUGCCUGCAGAAGGUUGGCGUUCAGCCACCCACUCCUGGAUCUCACAGUGGUCAUCAGUCGUCCCUUAUUCCAGAGCAGUAGUUCUUGACAGUGGAAAUACUGAAAAGCACAGAACGGUGCUUCUAGAAUGUCAACUCUGUGAGGACAGGCACACUCUGCUUUUGCUCAGCUUUGGAUUAUCUGGAUCCACAAUUCCAAGAAUGGUGCCUGGCACACAGGAAAUGCUCAUCAGGAAGUGCAUUCUGAACGAAUAGGUGUGAAAUGUGAGCGCCUAGAGGAAACAGCCAGGACGUGAGUAUAGCACUUGUCUUUGGGUGGUAGGACUGUUCUGGUUUUUCUGUAAGGUUGUACAGAGAAACCCGAAGGAACUUUUUGGCCAACCCAAUAUAAUAUAUGAUAAGCAGACAAGGGGCCUGUUUACUUGCAGUCAUGUGACCUUGGGUAAGUUGCUUCUCCUUUCUGUGCCUAAGCUUCCCCAUCAACAUGAAUACCUCCCUUGGCUGUUAGGAAGGUUAAAUGAGAUCAUGCCUGUAGAUAGGGAACCUCUGGUGCUGGGGACACAGGAAGCACUCGAUCAACAUCACACCGUCACUUUGUUGUUGUCAUCGUUUGGUCCUGAUCGUGAUCGGACAUUUCCGUGGAUACCUGGAGGCUUGCCUCGAAGGCUUCGAGAGAAGAGGUAGUUGUGGGGAGGACAGAGAACCUGGCUUGCAACGAGCUGACCUGCUGUUUCCUGGCCAAGUGACUGCAGUCAGGGGCAGUAACUUCUGAGCCACUGUUCUUUCUGCACCACAGAGACUUUUGUGUGAAUCAAUAAGAUGUGAUGAUGUCAGGUUCCAACCAGGUGUGUGUUAUUAUUUUUAUUACCUAACAAGUUAAAAAAAAUACAAGGAGUCUCCAGGCCUUUCUCCUCUCCUUAAUGGACUUACUGCUCUCCUUCAUCACGAACAGAGAGUUCCUUGUCCCCAACAGCCAUGAGAGCCUGGUUACAGGGCAGAGCCUGCAGCCCAGGGUGGUUUUUCUGCCAGGCCCAGCGAGGCUCCUGUCUCUCGAUAACCCGGGUCCUCCCUUUCUCCUGCCCCAGUGCUUCCCACACAGCUGCAGCCUCAUUAUCCAGGGGGACUGAGAGCUUCGGAAAGGAGCUUAACCGGGGCUAGGCUUUCAAGUGUUCGUCAUAAAGCUUCAAAGUUCACACCUUCAUUAAGAUGUGAAGAGUCAGGCCCUCCCCGCACUUCUCCUGGGGCUAUUGUUCCCUUCCCGUCCGGCUGCAGAGUCAAAAGACAAGCGGGAUUGGUUUUCUUUGUCCAGACAGCUCUCCUAACCAGAAAGGCUAGACCUAAAAUUCCAUGGACAGAGGAGCCUACACUCAGGCUACAGUCUAUAUAUAGGGUUGCAAAGAGUCAGACAUGACUGAGUGACUGAACACACAGCCCUCAGUUUCAAGAUGAGCAACAAAACAGAGACUGGUUUUCAGGAGAUGUAUGUGUACCAAUGCACAGAAAAGGUCCUGGAGGAAACACAGCAAACCAUGGCAGCAGUUUCUAGUGGGGAACUAGAAGAGGUGGAUAAAAGAAAGAAGCUCUUAUUACUUUCUAUCUACUGGGUUGUGUUGGGAUGUUUUACAAAGAGAAUAUAUCUACUUCUUACAAGAGUGGAGAACAAAAAACUGGAGACAAUAAAAAGAUCUGUGGUUGCCAGGGUUUGGUGGGAGGGAAAAUGGAAUAAGGGGAUUGCAGAGUUUUAAGGCAAUGAAAAUGCUCUGUAUGUUACCAUAAUGGUGGGUCCAUAUCAUUCUACAUUUGUCCAAACCACAGAAUGUCACCAGUAUGAGUGAACCCUAAUGGAAACUAUGGACUUCAGGCAAUUAUGGGGUGUCAAGCGGGUUCAUCGAUUGUAACCAAUGUACCACUCUGGUGGGGGAUGCUGAUAAUAGGGUUGCCUUUGUAUGCCUGGGGGCAGGGGAGAUAUGGCAAAUCUCUGAAACUUCCUCUCAAUUUUGCUGUGACUCUAAAAACGCUCUAAAAAAUAUAAAGUCCUAAAA